UGGGGAAUAUUGCACAAUGGGCGCAAGCCUGAUGCAGCCAUGCCGCGUGUGUGAAGAAGGCCUUGGUUGUAAAGCACUUUCAGCGGGGAGGAAGGCGUUAAGGUUAAUAACCUUGGCGAUUGACGUUACCCGCAGAAGAAGCACCGGCUAACUCCGUGCCAC
Molecule: ribosomal RNA, 162 nt
Filed under: uncultured bacterium
Lineage: Bacteria
Description: partial 16S rRNA
Rfam family: Bacterial small subunit ribosomal RNA
Source: RNAcentral